Molecule: ribosomal RNA, 484 nt
Filed under: uncultured bacterium
Lineage: Bacteria
Description: partial 16S ribosomal RNA
Rfam family: Bacterial small subunit ribosomal RNA
Source: RNAcentral
AUUGUACGCUGGCGGCAGGCCUAACACAUGCAAGUCGAGCGGAUGAAGGGAGCUUGCUCCUGGAUUCAGCGGCGGACGGGUGAGUAAUGCCUAGGAAUCUGCCUGGUAGUGGGGGAUAACGUCCGGAAACGGGCGCUAAUACCGCAUACGUCCUGAGGGAGAAAGUGGGGGAUCUUUGGACCUCACGCUAUCAGAUGAGCCUAGGUCGGAUUAGCUAGUUGGUGGGGUAAAGGCCUACCAAGGCGACGAUCCGUAACUGGUCUGAGAGGAUGAUCAGUCACACUGGAACUGAGACACGGUCCAGACUCCUACGGGAGGCAGCAGUGGGGAAUAUUGGACAAUGGGCGAAAGCCUGAUCCAGCCAUGCCGCGUGUGUGAAGAAGGUCUUCGGAUUGUAAAGCACUUUAAGUUGGGAGGAAGGGCAGUAAGUUAAUACCUUGCUGUUUUGACGUUACCAACAGAAUAAGCACCGGCUAACUUCGUG